UCCGUAGGUGAACCUGCGGAAGGAUCAUUAUCGAGUUCUGACUGGGUUGUAGCUGGCCUUCCGAGGCACGUGCACGCCCUGCUCAUCCACUCUACACCUGUGCACUUACUGUGGGUUCCAGAUCUGCGAAGCGUGCUCCUUGCGGGGCUUCGUGAAGCGCGUCUGUGCCUGCGUUUAUCACAAACUCUAUAAAGUAUUAGAAUGUGUAUUGCGAUGUAACGCAUCUAUAUACAACUUUCAGCAACGGAUCUCUUGGCUCUCGCAUCGAUGAAGAACGCAGCGAAAUGCGAUAAGUAAUGUGAAUUGCAGAAUUCAGUGAAUCAUCGAAUCUUUGAACGCACCUUGCGCUCCUUGGUAUUCCGAGGAGCAUGCCUGUUUGAGUGUCAUGAAAUCUUCAACCUACAAGCUUUUGCGGUUUGUAGGCUUGGACUUGGAGGCUUGUCGGCCCUCUGUCGGUCGGCUCCUCUUAAAUGCAUUAGCUUGAUUCCUUGCGGAUCGGCUCUCGGUGUGAUAAUGUCUACGCCGCGACCGUGAAGCGUUUGGCGAGCUUCUAACCGUCUUCGCUUGAAGACAGCUUUAUGACCUCUGACCUCAAAUCAGGUAGGACUACCCGCUGAACUUAAGCAUAUCAAUAAGCGGAGGA
Molecule: ribosomal RNA, 643 nt
Filed under: Ganoderma sp. GDGM44303
Lineage: Eukaryota; Fungi; Basidiomycota; Agaricomycetes; Polyporales; Polyporaceae
Description: eukaryotic LSU rRNA
Rfam family: 5.8S ribosomal RNA (bases 233-386)
Source: RNAcentral